UUAGUUCAGGGGUAGAUAAUCUCCCUACUAAAAAGCCCCUGCUAGGUGGGUAGGACUUUUGAAAAGUCCCGGGGCUUUUGGGGGGCAGUGCAGCAGGCUCCACAUUUCUGAUUGGUCCGGCAUUUGUAGCGUUUUCAUUGGACCUGCCAUGUUUAAAACACUGCAAGUCGUGCUGCAGUGUUUACUUCUACUUUUCUAUCGAAUUCACCAUGAGCGAGAAGAGAACCUACGACCGGUGGAGCGACGAGGAGGUGCAGGCCUUGCUUGCAGUGUACUCAGAGGAGGAGAUCCAGCGGGACUUGCUUACAGCUGUACGCAACAACAGAUUGUACACCAACAUCUCCAAAAGACUCACAGAUUUGGACAUUGUGCACACAGGGAAGCAGGUCCGCGAAAAACUUAAGAAACUGCGGCAAGACGACAAGAAAGUCAAGGACCAUAACAACCGUAGCGGGUCUGACCGGAGGACCAGCAAGUGGUUUGACCGCCUGGAUGCCUUCCUCGGAACGCGGCCAACCAGCACCACCGAAGUCUGUUGAGUGGAUUCGGCCGGCGAGGUGCUGGAGGCCAUGUCCGAGGAGGUGGACAGUGAGAGUCGGCUGACUGAAGAGCUGCCUUCAGGGGACACAGCGGCGAUUGUUAGCGUGUUCGCCCCACCAGCCAGCAGCAGCCCUCGUUCUGUGCCCUCAAUGGAUCGUCGAGGAAAGAGGAAAAGGGAUUGAGACACCAGCUUCCUCGACGCCCUGAGGGACAUGGAAUAGGCGAACCAGGCCGUCACACGGCAGGAGCAGUGUGAACGGCAGAUGCAGCUCCUGCUGGAGGGCCAGCUGCAGGACAUGGAGCUCAGGAGGCAGGAGCUUGCAUUUCUCCAGUCCAAGGCAGAGGAGAACAGGCGCAAACCCCACCGCCCCACCACCGGACUGAUAAUUACGCCGAUAAUUGCUACAAUUGCACUGCACAUUCUAAAUAU
Long non-coding RNA from Notolabrus celidotus (New Zealand spotty), 970 nucleotides. RefSeq lists it as uncharacterized. The transcript has 3 exons. The record is from RefSeq and is a predicted model, not a curated record. Lineage: Eukaryota; Metazoa; Chordata; Actinopteri; Labriformes; Labridae.